GACGAACGCUGGCGGCGUGCCUAAUACAUGCAAGUAGAACGCUGAAGGAGGAGCUUGCUUCUCUGGAUGAGUUGCGAACGGGUGAGUAACGCGUAGGUAACCUGCCUGGUAGCGGGGGAUAACUAUUGGAAACGAUAGCUAAUACCGCAUAAUAGCAGUUAUUGCAUGAUAACUGUUUGAAAGGUGCAAUUGCACCACUACUAGAUGGACCUGCGUUGUAUUAGCUAGUUGGUGGGGUAACGGCUCACCAAGGCGACGAUACAUAGCCGACCUGAGAGGGGGAUCGGCCACACUGGGACUGAGACACGGCCCAGACUCCUACGGGAGGCAGCAGUAGGGAAUCUUCGGCAAUGGACGGAAGUCUGACCGAGCAACGCCGCGUGAGUGAAGAAGGUUUUCGGAUCGUAAAGCUCUGUUGUAAGAGAAGAACGAGUGUGAGAGUGGAAAGUUCACACUGUGACGGUAUCUUACCAGAAAGGGACGGCUAACUACGUG
This 495-nucleotide ribosomal RNA is filed under the name uncultured bacterium. RNAcentral describes it as "partial 16S ribosomal RNA". It matches the Rfam family "Bacterial small subunit ribosomal RNA", at positions 28 to 507 of the family's 1533-position model. The record is from RNAcentral.